GGUACUGAGGGGCCCCAUCCCUGAUGCCAAGGCUGAGGGUGCGGCACACGCCCCGUGGAACGCCUGUGCUCUUCCUGCGGCCGGUGGCCCUCACUCCAGCAUCUGCGGGACCAGAGCAGAAGAAGGUUGGCUGUCCAGGCCCUGUGGCCCCAACACGGAGGUUGGGGUCUCAUGGGCCUCAGGCUUUGAGUCUCGGUGCUGCUUCUGACACAGGGAGGAUCCUGAGGGAGAGGCUGUUGACUGGCAGCUGCAGGCUGGCUGGGCCCUGGAAGUCCUGCAGCAACCCUCAGCCCUCCUCCAAGCCACCAAGGCUGCAGCUGCUGCUGCCAGAGGCUGGCCCAGAAACCCUCAGGCCAGAGCCCUCUGCAGAAGAGACUCACUCCAGGACACAGCCCUGUGGCUCAAAGGUGCCCUGGGCAGGACCUGCCCGCUGCCAACCGUCAGCAUCCGGGUCCCUUCACCGAAGCCAAGUCCUCGCCACCUCCUCCCCCUUCUGCCUCCCAGCUGAAGACCUGAGAGAUGGAAGCAGUGAUCACAUGGAGGACCCUCGAGCACCACCCACCAGCCAGACCAGCCUCGGACGCCCAGCCCCACCUGGGUCCCCAGCUCCCACAAGAGCUUUCAGCCUAGGACUUUGCCUGCCCUGGACUCUGGGAAAGACAUGAUCAGGUAAACUGAGGCACAGGUCUGGCAGUGUAGACCAUGAGCGCUGUGCAGGUCUGCAUAGGUGCAAGAGUCCCAUGUCUUGCUGGCCCUGUCCCUGAGGAGACCGGCUCAGAGGCUCCCAUACACACAGGUCCCACUGCUGCCCAGCUGA
This is a non-coding RNA of Saimiri boliviensis boliviensis (Bolivian squirrel monkey), 817 nucleotides long. NCBI's taxonomy places the organism in Eukaryota, Metazoa, Chordata, Mammalia, Primates, Cebidae. The record is from RefSeq and is a predicted model, not a curated record.